This 560-nucleotide long non-coding RNA is filed under the name Homo sapiens (human). RNAcentral's name for it is "novel transcript, antisense to CCDC93". The record is from RNAcentral. Lineage: Eukaryota; Metazoa; Chordata; Mammalia; Primates; Hominidae.
AAGAAGAUCUUAAAAAAAAGACAAUGUCAGUGAUAAAAAGUGGGUGAUGAAUACAUAGGGAAGAAGCCAGUUGAGAUUUUUUAAAAAAUCUUGAAACACAAACUUGGACAUUGGAGCCUUAGCUUUCAGAAUCCUCCCUGAAAGAAGAAAAAUACAUGUUUUUCUCCCCCACUAUAUUGUCACUUCCUCGAGGAAGGACAAGGGCUCAUGUAUUCUGUUUAUCUGCAUGCCUGGAGCCUAACCCAAACCUACGUGUGAACUAAUGCAAGCAGCUAAUGCCAAGCCUAACAUGCUCCAUAUGUGUUAGAAGUUUUAAGGUGAAGAAAAGAACUGGCCUUUUUCUUCCUUUAGCCCUGUGAGACAGACAUUCUGCACUUAAAUUAUCAGCCACAGGGCAUCCGUGGCUGGGAAUCCAAACAGAUGCUAAUGAAUUUGGAACAACAUUUAAGUGGCUGAACAAAAAUGGAUCCUAAACACCCCCAAAUCAAGUGCAACAAACAAGAAAUAGGCUGACACAUUUCUAUCAGGAAGGCAACCAGAAUGUCAAACUCUUGAAUGAU